This 499-nucleotide long non-coding RNA is filed under the name Ailuropoda melanoleuca (giant panda). RNAcentral describes it as "lncRNA (ENSAMEG00000030427.1)". Lineage: Eukaryota; Metazoa; Chordata; Mammalia; Carnivora; Ursidae. The record is from RNAcentral.
AAGCCAUUUGCUGCUUAGGAGAAUGCCUUCCUUUUCAGGGUCUUCCGAACAGACAGCUGGCUCUUCGCUGUUAAUCUUCAACGGAUGCAGAAUUUCGUCCUCUUUAAUCAGGCCCACUGUCUCUGUGUCCUGGUCAGACUUCUUGCCUCCUACUGGUCCUUGCCAUUUUAUCGUUUACAGGAAAUUGGGACAUGGAGAAAAAGAGAGAGGAAUCUACCCGCGUUUUCAGUAAACUUACCCAAUGGGAGAAGAAGCACUUUCCCCCGUGGACCUCAUCGAAGCUCCUAGAUGGGGCCGUCCCAGGAGCUGCGAGCCUUGCUGCCCCGUGUCUGAAGAGUCAUGCAUUCUCCAGGCCUCUGUGAAGACACCAGUUUGUCCUUUGACCGUGUGCCAAAGAUGGAAAAAAAGAAGAGCUUCAGCAACUGUGAACCAGGAAAUUUUUUGUUUGUUUGUUUUUUUAAAACUAGAUUUGCCAACCUCGCCAAGAAAUGUUGUCUAA